CGUAUAUUAAAGUUGUUGCGGUUAAAAAGCUCGUAGUUGGAUUUCUGUUGAGAGCAGCCGGUCUGCACUUCGUGCAUGUAUCUGGUUUGAUCUCGGCAUCCUCUCAAAAUACGUUUCUGCGCUUGAUUGCGUGGAGCGGAGUUUGGGACUUUUACUUUGAGGAAAUUAGAGUGUUCACGGCAGGCAAUCGCCUUGGAUAUAUUAGCAUGGAAUAAUAAUAUAGGAUCUUGGUUCUAUUUUGUUGGUUUCUAGAGCUAGGAUAAUGAUUAAUAGGGACAAUUGGGGGCAUUCGUAUUAUCGCGUCAGAGGUGGAAUUCUUGGAUUGCGAUACGACGAACUACUGCGAAAGCAUUUGCCAAGGAUGUUUUCAUUGAUCAAGAACGAAAGUAAGGGGAUCGAAGACGAUUAGAUACCGUCGUAGUCUUUACCAUAAACUAUGCCAACUAGAGAUGGGGUGAGCUUCUUUUCUGACUCACUCCGCACCUUAUGAGAAAUCAAAGUCUUUGGGUUCCGGGGGGAGUAUGGUCGCAAGGCUGAAACUUAAAGGAAU
This 550-nucleotide ribosomal RNA is filed under the name uncultured marine picoplankton. RNAcentral's name for it is "SSU rRNA". It matches the Rfam family "Eukaryotic small subunit ribosomal RNA", at positions 598 to 1153 of the family's 1831-position model. The record is from RNAcentral.